This 125-nucleotide small RNA is filed under the name Marmota monax (woodchuck). Lineage: Eukaryota; Metazoa; Chordata; Mammalia; Rodentia; Sciuridae. The record is from RNAcentral.
GCCGGGUGUGGUGGCACAUGCCUGUAAUCCCAGCGGCUUGGGAGGCUGAGGCAAGAGGAUCAUGAGUUCAAAGCCAGGCCCAGCAAAAGUGAAGUGCUAAGCAGCUCAGUGAGACCCUGUUUCUA